AAUUUGAUGCCAUCGGCCGUAUGCUGAAUUUCUGUGGGCUUGGGGCCGGAACACGGUCAGCGUGGCAGGUGAACACAGGGCUUCCCCGGGAGUAGAGUUUCCGUAUCCUCCGCGAGAAAAAGAGAUAACUUUGCUUAUGGAAACAUGUGCAAGAUGUUAUACAUUAUGUUAUGGAUGCGUUACAUGUUUUACAUAAAUGCUCUUAAAAUGAGGUGGAAAGAGAUGUGGAAAUGGACAGUGAGGAGCUCUGAAAAUCAGGGCUGGGUUGCUCUGGUGAGUUUUGUGAUGUAGAUACGUGACUCAGAGAAGAAAAAGCGGUAAACGGAAAUGUUCUGGACAUCAGCCAGCGCCUUGUUACGGCGCCGCGCAAGAAAUUGUUUGCCCAGAGAAGAGGGGUUGUUCUCGCAGGAGCAGUGCGGCGGGUGGCGGGAGCACAGGAGGGAGAACAGGGAAUCGCCAGUCCGGAGGGCAGAAGGAGCCGUGCUCUUGGCCUUCAGACCAGGAUAUCCUGAUAUCUUGUACCGAGAGAUAUUUUGAUCUCUUGGUCUAAAUUUUUGCUGUUUUUUGAUAUGUUCAUUGAUUUAUUUUUUUUUUUCCCGACCCACCAUUCUCAAACGUACGAAUGGAAUUUGCAGGUAGCAACGGAACGGGGAGGCGCUUGGUAAAGCCCGUGAAGGUUUGGAGGCAGGAACGGCGGUUACCGGUGGUACGGACGUGGCGUGAGCUGGGUGCUGGGUCACUUCAAGCAAACUAAAGGGAAGUUGGGGACAUUUCCAGUCCCAUGAAAAGGUGGGGGCCAGCAGUGCUUCUGUUGAAAACGGGCAGGGGUCGGUGCGAUGCGGGUCCCGGUGUGCCGUGCCGUGCCCUGCGCAGAGGCGGCCGACGUCCGGCGCCCGCGGGACGGAGAGUUGAGCGGCUGCCAUCUAUCUCUGCUCCGGCUGCGCUGACAAGCUGGAGCCUGAAUAGCAAAAUUCCCGGCGCGAGCGAGACGGAGCUGGGAUCUGCUUUCACUUGAAGCGCCUACUUCAUGCUGACCGUUUCUCAGCUGUUUGCCUGCAGAAUUUCUCCAUGGUGAUGAAAAGGUUUUGAAGAUCGGCAGGGUCCCACCCUUAGAGGCUUGUUGCCAUUUUCGGCGAAAAGAGGGGCAGAUUUGACUCUAUCCUUGUCAGACAGACGCGGCCCCCGGCCCUGCCCCAGCCGUUGCUCCCCACGCGUCCUUUCAGGUGCAGGGGGACGUAUCGCAGCGGGACGAGGGAGAGCUCUGCAAGUCAUCUCGGAGGAACCCAAAAGCCGAUGCCAACCUCGCAGCCUUCGUCGGAGGAGCACCUCGGCAGCCGGAGCCUUCCCGGGGCGGGGUGCGGCCGGAGCCGAGCGAGGAGCACGCGGCGUCUCCGGCAGCGGCAUCUCCGGCAGCGGGCGGCUCCCCAGCGCGUGCAAAGCAGGAGCGCGAGACGAGGCGCAGGCGGCCAGGGGUGGCUGAACCCCCACUCCCCCCCCGAAGCCACGACCUGGGGCCCCGUCCCGGCUGCGGGCGGUAGCGCAGAGCGAGGGGGUGCAGGACGGCGGUGCGGCUGGCGGUGAGUUGGCGGGGCGGGGGGUCUGCCACCCCCUCUGUGCUUGUCCCCCCACCGCGUGCCGGGACGGGGCCCUUCGGCUCAGCCCAUUGCGGGGGGGGUCUGGGGUGGGGGGGGGGUGUUUUGCUCUCUCGGCUCUGGAAGCACUGGGUGCACCCCCCCAGUCCCGGCCGCGGGCCCUCCCUGGCGCGUCCGCGGCGGCACCGCUUGACCUUACAGCGUUAAAAUCAUUAAGAAAAAAACCCCGAUAUUUAUAUAUAUAUAUAUAUAUAUUAAUGUCCCCAAACCCAGUGACAACAGUGGCUUCUUGCUCUGAAACAGGGGUGUCCCCUUGCCGCAGGGAUCACCCGGGCACUGUGGCCGUGACAGCUGUGGGGACGCUGUGGUGACAGUGAUAGAGAUGGGGCGGGGGGGGGGGGGGAAGUGUGUGGGUUGUUUGUCCAGCUCCCCCCCCCCACCCCCCGUGCCCGUGGUGGCCCCACGUCCCCCAGCCCGUCACCGAUACCUCACCUGAUGAGCCACCACCAAAGCCCAGCCUGGGGACAUCCAGGCACCCCACGUCCCGCUGUCACCUCACCUCCCGACACCCUGGCAUGGUGGCACCCUGUCCCCUGUCUGGUGCCACCACAGCCAAGGCUGGGCUGUCACACGAGGCUGGGGGCCACCACGCGCCUCGGCCAUGGCUGGGCUUGGGGACACCCUUGGUCACCUUCUGCCUCCAUGGCAAAGGGGCCUGGCGUAGGCAGGGACAGCGGGCGAGGGAGAGCGCAGAGGGGACCCCCCCCACGCCGCUGUGGGCAUGGGGUGCCAUCCCCUGUUGCCCCCCCGCUGAGUGUCACCAGGGGUGUCCCCCCCUCCCACCGCUGAGUCUCACCAGUGGCUGAAGCGACCGGUGUGGGCCCCCGGUGCUCCGUGGCCCUGCGGAGCCACCCCAUGCAGGGUGACGUGGGGACGGGGGUGACACAUCCCGCCCGCCUGCCAUGGGGCUGGGGGACACCCAGCAGGUGCUGUGACCAGCCCGCCAUGGGGCUGGGGUGACAUGUGCCACCCACCCCAGCAGCCCCACGUGCCGCCAGCCUGGGGCUCACCCUGUACCCCAGCCCCCCAGGGUGGGCCCUGCUGUCACCUGCCCCCCCACCAGCCCCACUGCCACCACUUUGGGGUUCACCUGCCCGAGCUGGGGGGGGGGACGUGGGGGCCCCAUGGCUGGGUGGGCGCAGCCAUGACGUUUGAGGGGACAUACCCCGCCGUGGGGGGGGGCUGAUGGGCUGGUUUGGGCGGGGGGACAGGGGACACCUGGGGGUGCAGACCUGGCCCCUCCCAUGGACCCCAUCCCAGUCCUGGCAUCUGGGGUAGGGGGGGGGACACAACUCCCAGGCCCUGCACUUUGAGGCGGGGGGGGUGGGGGGUGGGGGUGGGGUUACUGGCCUGGUACUGGGGUACACUGGCCUGCCAUUUGGGGGACCCAGGCCCCAAAGCUGUAAGAUGCUGGCGAGGGGGGUGCAGGGGGGGCAGAGGAGAGGAGGGGGGGCUGGGGGGGGGCUGUCCCCCGCAGGUACAUUCAUCCCGGUGCUGGGGGUGCCGCCAGCCCCGGGGUGGGGGCCCGGGGGCCCAUACAUUCGUGGCAGCACGGUGGGGGGGUCGGGGGGGGGUCGGGAUGGUCCCGGGUGCCCCCCCGGCUCUCCUCCUUGGCCGGACUCUUGGCGGCGGCAGCGGCGCCCCGUUUAAUUGCUGUUAAUGAGGCGCUGGGGAGUGUGUGUGUGGGGGGGGGAGGCGUGGAGCGAAGCGGCCCCACUCAGGCCCCCCCG
This is a long non-coding RNA of Chroicocephalus ridibundus (black-headed gull), 3382 nucleotides long. RefSeq lists it as uncharacterized. The transcript has 6 exons. The record is from RefSeq and is a predicted model, not a curated record. NCBI's taxonomy places the organism in Eukaryota, Metazoa, Chordata, Aves, Charadriiformes, Laridae.